This 617-nucleotide ribosomal RNA is filed under the name fungal endophyte. RNAcentral's name for it is "eukaryotic LSU rRNA". The stretch from base 180 to 333 matches the Rfam family "5.8S ribosomal RNA". Lineage: Eukaryota; Fungi. The record is from RNAcentral.
UUAAAGAGUUCUAUAACUCCCAAACCCAUGUGAACAUACCUAACGUUGCCUCGGCAGGUCGCACCUACCUUGUAGCACCCUACCCUGUAGGGCCUACCCGGGAGGUGCGGGUAAGCCUGCCGGCGGCCCACCAAACUCUGUUUGAUAUUGAAUUCUGAACCUAUAACUAAAUAAGUUAAAACUUUCAACAACGGAUCUCUUGGUUCUGGCAUCGAUGAAGAACGCAGCGAAAUGCGAUAAGUAAUGUGAAUUGCAGAAUUCAGUGAAUCAUCGAAUCUUUGAACGCAUAUUGCGCCCAUUAGUAUUCUAGUGGGCAGGACCGUUCGAGCGUCAUUUCAACCCUUAAGCCUUCGUUGCUUAGUGUUGGGAGCCUACGGCAACGUAGCUCCUCAAAGUUAGUGGCGGAGUUGGUUCACACUCUAGACGUAGUAAUUUUUUAUCUCGCCUAUUAGUUGGACUAAUCCCCUGCCGUAAAACCCCCAAUUUAUCAAGGUUGACCUCGAAUCGGUUCAGACAAACUCGCUAAAUUGAAGCAUCUUAGUCAGCGAAGGAAAAGAAACCAACAGGGAUUGCCCUAGUAACGGCGAGUGAAGCGGCAACAGCUCAAAUUUGAAAUC